GGGCCAAAAUCUAUAUUAGAACGGACCCAUUCAAGUUAAACUUUUAUAUUUAAUGAUAAAACAAUCAUCAUAUCAAAUAUUUCGCUGGACAAAAAUUCAAAUGACACAAGAAUAGUUUAAAUAAAAUGAGAAAAAAAUUAACCAAAAAAUAUCUUUUGUUGGAUAAAAAUAAUGUUAAGGUCAUGUACAAUAUUUGUGGGAUUUAUAGGGGGGUGGGUCAUAAAAUGAUUCCCCCAUCCCCCUUUGUGUCAGCCGAUAUAAAUUUUCACCGCCAAAGGUUGACCGUAAUCCUCUCCCCCCCCCCCCCUUCUCUCCCUGGAGUCUUGCUUCAAUAUUCUUCUAAUGUGACCGAUGUGACCAUAUAGAUUGACCUGACUUGAAUGUUUUAUUUACAGUUACAUAUCCACUAUUGAUUUUAAAACUUCAAGGGACUAAACUGUUUGUUUUUGGUUUGUUUGUGUGUAACAAACGCUAUGACUGAUGAAUAUUUUUAGAAAUGCAUACUCAUUCUAAUCAGGAUGCUUCAUAACGGUUAUGUUGCUGACCAGGUUCUGUUUCAUGAAGACUAGAUGCAGGAUUCAGCAGAUUCCUCAUAGAAGGUUUCCUCCAAACUGUUCUUAAUGGAUAUAGAUGCUGAGAAGUCAUAAUGAUUAAUAUGAUACGAGGUGCGACUGUUAAAGGGCUGCAGCAUCCUCUACUGAGUCCAUUUUUGUCUACUUCUUUACUGACAAGAAGUUUUUAUUUUUACGCUUAAAAGGAAUUGACCGGCAAUGUAUGGGGGUUCCACUGAAAUUUCAGUAUUUUACAUGAAGUCCGAAUUUCAAAAUCUCUUCAGUUCUUGAUGUCAAAACUGCGUGUCAAUAAGUGAUUUUUUUAAAUGCAACAACUGACUAGCCCUUAUAAAAAAAAUAUGAGCCAAAGAUAAGAGAAAAUAUUAUUU
Long non-coding RNA from Eurytemora carolleeae, 940 nucleotides. RefSeq lists it as uncharacterized. The transcript is spliced from 3 exons. NCBI's taxonomy places the organism in Eukaryota, Metazoa, Arthropoda, Copepoda, Calanoida, Temoridae. The record is from RefSeq and is a predicted model, not a curated record.